RNAcentral lists this ribosomal RNA (1578 nucleotides) under Neopestalotiopsis cubana. RNAcentral describes it as "SSU rRNA". It matches the Rfam family "Bacterial small subunit ribosomal RNA". Lineage: Eukaryota; Fungi; Ascomycota; Sordariomycetes; Amphisphaeriales; Sporocadaceae. The record is from RNAcentral.
AUAAGGGUGAGUUUGGUGAUGGCUCUGAUUGAACGCUGUCGAAGGGCUUGACACAUGCUAAUCGAACGUUUAAUAAAAUAAACUAGGCUAUUAGAGAUCUUCGGGUUUUUAAGAGCUUGUAUUUAUUUAUUAUUAAAAGUGGUGUACAGGUGAGUAUAGAUACCCAGCCGGCCUUAAAGAGAGGGAUAAAUCCCUCAUAACGAAAGGUGAAAUAAUCACCGCUUUAAGAGGACUUAAGGAAGUAUCGUCGGGAUGGGUUGUUGUUAAGGUUACUUCUUAACAAGCUUUUAAUUCUCGUAGUCGAAGCUGAAAGGUUGAUCGACCACAUUGGGACUGAAAAAACCCCAAGGCAAUGUUGUACAGCAGUGAGGAAUUUUGGUCAAUGGCCUAACGGCUGAACUGGCAACUUCGGAGAACGAAGACUAGUUAUAGUUAAACUUUAACUAUAACUUUUCUAUAAAUUGACUUAUCAAAUAAAGUUCUAAGUGUAUAUUGAUAAUGACGGUAUGCAUAUUGUGGCUUGACUAAUUACGUGCCAGCAGUCGCGGUAAUACGUAAGAGCCUAGUGUUAUUCAUCUUAAAUAGGUUUAAAGGGUACUUAGACGGUAGUAAAUGACUUAAAAUAAGAGUACAUCUCUACUAGAGUUUGAUAUGGGGAGGUCGUACCUGGGGUGAAGAGUUAAUAUUUGGUAAUACCCUGGGGACUGGUAAAGGCGAAGGCAACCUCUUAUGUAAAAACUGACGUUAAAGGACGAAGGCACAGAUAACGAAAAGGAUUAGAUACCCUAGUAGUCUUUGCAGAGAAUGAUGAAUGCCAUAGAUUAGGUAUAUUUACUUGGUUUAUAAAUGAAAGUGUAAGCAUUUCACCUCAAGAGUAAUGCGGCAACGCAGGAACUGAAAUCACUAGACCGUUUCUGACCCCAGCAGUGAAGUAUGUUAUUUAAUUCGGUGAUCCACGAAAAACCUUACCACAAUUUGAAUGUUAUUCUAUAGCGGACUAUCGUGAUCGAAAAAAGCAAUAGUUCGUGCUGAAUAAUACAAGUGUUGCACGGCUGUUUACAGUUAAUGUUAUGAAACUGCGGUUCCGACCGUGUAAUUAAUGAAUACCCUGGCUUUAUUUAUUAAAAGGUGAUUUUUCUCCAACAUAAAAUAAAGCAUUUCAUACGCCUUAUAAUAGUAUGAACAAAAGGGAAUAAGACAAGUCAUCAUGGCCUUAAUAUUGUGGGCUAUAGACGUGCCACAAUUCUCCUACACAAAGAGAAGCAAAAAUGCGAAUUUAAGCUAAUCUCAAAAAAUAGGAUAUAAUUAGGAAUGGAUUGUAGUCUGAAAUUCGGCUGCAUGAAUAAGAAAUUGCUAGUAAUCGUGAAUCACCAUGUCACGGUGAAUCUAACUUCGGAUUGGUACUAACCACUCGUCGCAUGCUGAAAGGAGUUAGCGCAAUAAGUUUGCUUUUCUAUUGUAAGUACUUAAUAAUAGGAUUUAGAUCUUAUAGUAGAAUUCUUCGUAUGCGCGAUUCUAAUUGGUGUUAAGUCGAAAUACGGUUCGUGUAGUGGAAGUUGCACGGGAUACAUAAAAUUA